This 253-nucleotide ribosomal RNA is filed under the name uncultured bacterium. RNAcentral's name for it is "partial 16S ribosomal RNA". It matches the Rfam family "Bacterial small subunit ribosomal RNA", at positions 524 to 776 of the family's 1533-position model. The record is from RNAcentral.
UACGUAGGGUGCAAGCGUUAAUCGGAAUUACUGGGCGUAAAGCGUGCGCAGGCGGUUAUGCAAGACAGAUGUGAAAUCCCCGGGCUUAACCUGGGAACCGCAUUUGUGACUGCAUAGCUGGAGUACGGCAGAGGGGGAUGGAAUUCCGCGUGUAGCAGUGAAAUGCGUAGAUAUGCGGAGGAACACCGAUGGCGAAGGCAGUCCCCUGGGCCUGUACUGACGCUCAUGCACGAAAGCGUGGGGAGCAAACCGG